GGGGGUUGUUUGCAGGAACUAUAAUUAGAUUUCUAAGAUUACCAUAUUUUCAAGGACUCAGAAUUAUGUAAAGAAAUGAAAUGUGUUAAAGGAUAAUCCACCCAUUACCUUUUUCUUGAGCUUGUUUUUGUCUCACUUUUGCAGGUCAAAGGCAGAAAUGAGACAUACCUGCCGUGGUACCAUUAACCUCGCCACAGCCAACAUCACUGUGGAGGACUCCUGCAACUUUAUCAUUUCCAAUGGGGGCGCUCAGACCUACCAUCUGAAGGCUAGCUCAGAAGUGGAGCGACAGCGCUGGGUGACAGCUCUAGAACUGGCAAAAGCCAAGGCUGUGAAGAUGCUAGCAGAAUCAGGUAGGAAGCAAAGAAGACCUUGCCUGGAAAGCUUUCCAUAUGUCC
This 398-nucleotide long non-coding RNA is filed under the name Marmota monax (woodchuck). Lineage: Eukaryota; Metazoa; Chordata; Mammalia; Rodentia; Sciuridae. The record is from RNAcentral.